This 2712-nucleotide long non-coding RNA is filed under the name Heterocephalus glaber (naked mole-rat). Its description in RNAcentral is "lncRNA (ENSHGLG00000032959.1)". Lineage: Eukaryota; Metazoa; Chordata; Mammalia; Rodentia; Bathyergidae. The record is from RNAcentral.
GGGAUGAAUGAAAUAAGCACGACACAGAGUUCAAGUCCCACAGGCUUUCUGCUGUGGGUGCCCCUCGAAGAGUGCAAAUGGGUGUUCCCCAAUCGACAGUGUUUAUUACUAAGGUGAAUCCCGACAGAAGCACACAUAAAGCAAGGUAUCUUGACAACCCAGAGCCACUCGGACUGUGUGGUCACCGCAGCAGAUCCUCAGGUAUGUCCUGAAGGGGGAGGGGACAGGCGAGCCCUGAGCGGGUCCAGGCAGAUUACCGUGUACUGUGUGCCCACUGUAAGAGAGAGAAAAUUCUUCAAAACACUCCAUAGCCCUCUGAACAAUAGCAAAACACAAAAAGUACACACGGAAUCAAAUUUAUGGAUACUAGUCUGCAACUUUUUUCCCCUUUCUUCCUUUGAGACAACAUCUAAAUUGCUCAAUCUGGCCUCCUCAAACUCAAGAUCCUCCUGCCUCAGCCCCACAAGGAGCGGGGUUCCAGGCGUGACCUACCAUGCCUGCCCUUUUUCUGUUUUGCUUUUCUCCCCUGAGAAGAGUAUCUUGGAGAUGUCUUAUGUUGGUAUGUGUAGAAUUUUGUCAGUAUUUUAAAAUUUGUAAUAAAAUACACAAAACAGUCUUUUUAUUUUCUUGGUGUUGGGGAUUGAAUCCAGGGUCUUGCACAUGCUCUCCCAGUGAGCUAGUUCCCCAGCUCAGUAUUUUAAAAACUGUGAUCGUGGCUUAUUAGUCAUAAAGUUAAUUCAGUGGGUCAAGAACAGCAUUUAAAAACAGUAACGUGGGCCAGGUAUUUAGCUCAGUGAUUCCGCAGCCUGCCUCGAAAGCACAAGGUUCUGAGUUCGAUCCCCUGGUACAAAAAAAAAAACAUUAACGCUGGGUGUAGUGGUGCAUGCCUGCAGUCCCAGCCCUGGGAAGACUGAGGCAGGAGAAAUACCACGAGUUUUAGGCCACCCUGGGCUGUCCCAGCACAGCCCCCAGACCCUGGACGGGGGGUUCCUCUCAUCCUCCCAUGCCUAUGGGGGUGUCUUGGCCACAGAGGCCCUGCAGCAGUACCUGAUGGUGGUGAUGGCCCUCAAGUACGAGGAGAAGCCGCCUCACGCCAUCCUGAGGAACGGUCUGGAAGCCCUGCUGCAGGAUCUGCAGGUGUCAGCCUAUGACCCCCUCAACCUACAGAUGGCACCCAGGCAGGACCCAGGUAAGGGAGUGUGCCAGCCUUAGCCCGUGCCCUUCCUGGGCCAUGUGUGACUGCUCGCAGAUGCAGCCACCAGUGCCGCAGCUCCCGGGGAACCCUGAGUCUCUGCAGCUCCUCCGGCACAGUCCGGUUCCGGGCAAGUAGCCUGUCCCUCGACUGAGCUCGGCUGUCCGAGAGCUGGAGCCUGGGUCUUUGUCACAGCAUUCUGAGGGGAGCUCGAGGCAGGGCUGCGUUCAGGGCCUUGCAAACAGCAUCAAGGCUUUUCCUUCUCUCUCUAUCCACUUUUGUCCCCUCUGGUAUUUGGCGACUCCCACUCCCCUGUCCCCGACUCACACAGACACUGUUGCCCCUGGGCCCCUUGGCCCUCUGUGCUCUCCUGAGUCAUGGGGUCUCUCUGCUCAGCACAGGUCAGCUGCACGGCUCCACCUGCCCCCUGUAGCUGAGGAAUCUGCAGCCAUAGACUGGACCAACCAUGGAUCCAGAAUAUUUUCAAACCUUGUGCCUGUACUGAAUAUUUGUAGACUUACUCUUACUGUUCCCGAAACGUUGGCACCCAGGGUCCUGGAACCCACCCAGGGGACCCUGAGGGCCGCCUAUCCCCUCCGGUGUGCUCCAAGGAGCCUGCACAGCCAGCUGCAUGGCAUUUGCUCAGUGCCCAGCGUUGGUUUACAAAUAGCACCGCUGCACAGCCGUGUGCACAGCUGGCUGCUGGGGUGCGUGUCCAUGCUUGGAGUCCCCUCUACCCACGCUCACGGGCUGCUCUGCAGCAGGGCUGUGCCAUCCAGACACCCACCAGCACCACCAGACUGGGCGGGAGUUUCGGGACAAAGAUCAGUUCCAUUCAAGUCACCAAAGAUGGGGCAGGGCAGCCGGCUGUGUCCCCGAGCAAGAGCUUCCCCAAGCCCCUCCUCUCCACCGAGCUUCAUUCCUGUCAUGGUGCUUGGUUCCAUUCAAAGCUCCAUGUCUGUCUAACUCAGGGCGCCAGGGGCAUCUGGCAGAGCCUGGGGACACUUUUGGCUGCACCAGCUUAGGAGAGCGUGCAACUGAGCACCCAGCCGCAGAGGCCAGGGCCGCUGAUCAGCAUGGAUACCACAUAGCACAGCCCUGCCGCUGUCACCAGCAGAGACCUACCUGCCAGGUGUCACCAGGGAGCUGUUGAGAUCGCCUGAUCUGGGACCUUCCUGAGCAGCACCACCCAGGUGGCCGUCUGUCUGCUUUGCUGUCAUCUUCCUGGCAGCAGCGUGGACCACGGGUGUUUCUCCUGAAAGAUAACACAGUGCACACAGCACCUGCACAGAGCCAGAAAUGCAGUACUAGGGCCGAGGGCUCCGCACUGACCACGGAUCCCCUCAAAAGUAAAAAGUAAAAAGUAGAGUUGGAGCCGGGCAUGGUGGCACAAGCCUGCAGUGCCAGCACUCGGGAGACAGAGGCAGGGGAAUUAAUUAUCUGGAGUUCCAGGCCAGCCUGGGCUACAUAGUGAGCUCAGGACCAGCCUGAACUAUGCAGUGAGACCUUGUCUAAAAAAA